Molecule: long non-coding RNA, 338 nt
Organism: Oreochromis aureus
Lineage: Eukaryota; Metazoa; Chordata; Actinopteri; Cichliformes; Cichlidae
Source: Ensembl
CGGAAGUGGAGCAGCUGCUCUGCUGUUAGCCGCUCCGGACUCUCGCUCGUCUUUACCGUCAGAACCGGAACCUGCGACGGAACCGGAGGGACCAUGGAGCCCGUCCCCGCUGCACCGGCUGAGGAGUUCGCCGGCAUUCAGGUGAAAACGGAGCCGGAGGGCGACGUGGAGAUCCGCUCGUACCCGAUCCUCAGGAAGUUGUCGGUCAAGCUGAGUGACUGCAGGGUGUGGCUGGAGGGGCGGGACUUCCUGUCUUUGGGUGAAUGAAGCAAAAAAGAAAGUGACAGGAGGUGAAGCAAGCUGCUGAAACUAGAGACGGCACAGUGAUGAUCUCCAUC